This 202-nucleotide long non-coding RNA is filed under the name Phoenix dactylifera (date palm). RNAcentral's name for it is "long non-coding RNA (PDAC_LNC002491)". The record is from RNAcentral. Lineage: Eukaryota; Viridiplantae; Streptophyta; Magnoliopsida; Arecales; Arecaceae.
UUUUUAGCACUCUUUUGUACCUAAUUUUCUGAAGUUCUCCUGCAUAUAACUCUUAAAAAGAUGUAUUUCUUUAUUUUGGUUCCUUGUUGUAAUUGAAGGUCCUUCCAGGCCAAACUCACCUAAAACCUGGGUCACUCCCUAUCUUUCCACUGCAUCAUCACGAUUCAUCCCUAUUGUUAUGGACAGAAGUUCAUCUCAACCA